UAGGGAAUCUUCCGCAAUGGACGCAAGUCUGACGGAGCAACGCCGCGUUAGUGAAGAAGGAUUUCGGUUCGUAAAACUCUGUUGUUAGAGAAGAACAGCGCAUAGAGUAACUGUUAUGCGUGUGACGGUAUCUAACCAGAAAGCCACGGCUAACUACGUGCCAGCAGCCGCGGUAAUACGUAGGUGGCAAGCGUUGUCCGGAUUUAUUGGGCGUAAAGCGAGCGCAGGCGGUCAAUUAAGUCUGAUGUGAAAGCCCCCGGCUCAACCGGGGAGGGUCAUUGGAAACUGGUUGGCUUGAGUGCAGAAGAGGAGAGUGGAAUUCCAUGUGUAGCGGUGAAAUGCGUAGAUAUAUGGAGGAACACCAGUGGCGAAGGCGACUCUCUGGUCUGUAACUGACGCUGAGGCUCGAAAGCGUGGGUAGCAAACAGG
RNAcentral lists this ribosomal RNA (429 nucleotides) under Bacteroidota bacterium. RNAcentral describes it as "Bacteroidetes bacterium partial 16S ribosomal RNA". It matches the Rfam family "Bacterial small subunit ribosomal RNA", at positions 355 to 776 of the family's 1533-position model. Lineage: Bacteria; Pseudomonadati; Bacteroidota. The record is from RNAcentral.